ACGGGAGGCAGCAGUGAGGAAUAUUGGUCAAUGGACGGAAGUCUGAACCAGCCAAGUCGCGUGAAGGAUGAAGGUAUUAUGUAUUGUAAACUUCUUUAGCAGUGGAGUAAUAAGGUGGUCGUGACCACUGAUGCAAGUACACUGAGAAUAAGGAUCGGCUAACUCCGUGCCAGCAGCCGCGGUAAUACGGAGGAUCCGAGCGUUAUCCGGAUUUAUUGGGUUUAAAGGGUGCGCAGGCGGCUUUUUAAGUCAGUGGUUAAAUCGUGACGCUCAACGUCAUCACGCCAUUGAUACUGGAGAGCUUGAUUGCGGUCGAGGUAGGCGGAAUUCGUCGUGUAGCGGUGAAAUGCAUAGAUAUGACGAAGAACCCCGAUUGCGUAGGCAGCUUACCAGCCCGACAAUGACGCUCAUGCACGAAAGUGCGGGGAUCGAACAGGAUUAGAUACCCUGGUA
This 453-nucleotide ribosomal RNA is filed under the name uncultured Porphyromonadaceae bacterium. Its description in RNAcentral is "partial 16S ribosomal RNA". It matches the Rfam family "Bacterial small subunit ribosomal RNA", at positions 341 to 792 of the family's 1533-position model. Lineage: Bacteria; Pseudomonadati; Bacteroidota; Bacteroidia; Bacteroidales; Porphyromonadaceae. The record is from RNAcentral.